Molecule: unclassified non-coding RNA, 368 nt
Filed under: plant metagenome
Description: partial contains 5.8S ribosomal RNA, internal transcribed spacer 2, and large subunit ribosomal RNA
Source: RNAcentral
UCCCUUCUCUCCUUCUUUUUCCUUUCAUCUUUCACUUUCAUCCUCUCCUCUUUUCCCGCAAAUUGCACUCCCUGGUAUUCCGGGGAGUAUGCCUGUUUGAGGGUCGCCAAAUAAACAUCGAUUCCCGUUGCUUUUUGAAGUGAAUGUUUAUCGGAUUUGAGCUUUCUUUAUCCUUAUAAAGUGGCUUAAAAUUUAUUUUUUGGUAUCAUCGAAAGCGUAUUUUACGAUCAAUUUUUGAUUAAAAAGGACGUUUCGAAUACCAUCCUUCAAUGUAAUACGUUUGACUAUACGUAAAAAAUAUAGUUCAUUCGUAUACGAUUAAUUUUUUUUGACCUCAAAUCAGGUAAGAGUACCCGCUGAACUUAAGC